CAGUAGCCACGGUAAUACGGAGGGUGCAAGCGUUAAUCGGAAUUACUGGGCGUAAAGCGCACGCAGGCGGUCUGACAAGUCAGAUGUGAAAUCCCCGGGCUUAACCUGGGAACUGCAUUUGAAACUGUCAGGCUGGAGUCUUGUAGAGGGGGGUAGAAUUCAAGGUGUAGCGGUGAAAUGCGUAGAGAUCUGGAGGAAUACCGGUGGCGAAGGCGGCCCCCUGGACAAAGACUGACGCUCAGGUGCGAAAGCGUGGGGAGCAAACAGGAUUAGAUACCCCUGUAGUCCCUGUCUCUUAUAC
RNAcentral lists this ribosomal RNA (301 nucleotides) under uncultured bacterium. RNAcentral's name for it is "partial 16S ribosomal RNA". It matches the Rfam family "Bacterial small subunit ribosomal RNA", at positions 509 to 807 of the family's 1533-position model. The record is from RNAcentral.